AACGAACGCUGGCGGCAGGCCUAACACAUGCAAGUCGAACGCUCGUAGCAAUACGAGAGUGGCAGACGGGUGAGUAACACGUGGGAACCUUCCCUAUGGUUCGGAAUAGCUCAGGGAAACUUGGGGUAAUACCGGAUAAGCCCUUCGGGGAAGGAUUUAUCGCCAUUGGAUGGGCCCGCGUCGGAUUAGCUAGUUGGUGAGGUAACGGCUCACCAAGGCAACGAUCCGUAGCUGGUCUGAGAGGAUGAUCAGCCACACUGGGACUGAGACACGGCCCAGACUCCUACGGGAGGCAGCAGUGGGGAAUAUUGCACAAUGGGCGAAAGCCUGAUGCAGCGACGCCGCGUGAGGGAUGACGGCC
RNAcentral lists this ribosomal RNA (361 nucleotides) under uncultured bacterium. RNAcentral describes it as "bacterial SSU rRNA". It matches the Rfam family "Bacterial small subunit ribosomal RNA", at positions 29 to 416 of the family's 1533-position model. The record is from RNAcentral.